RNAcentral lists this ribosomal RNA (435 nucleotides) under uncultured bacterium. RNAcentral describes it as "partial 16S ribosomal RNA". It matches the Rfam family "Bacterial small subunit ribosomal RNA", at positions 29 to 507 of the family's 1533-position model. The record is from RNAcentral.
AGCGAACGCUGGCGGCAGGCUUAACACAUGCAAGUCGAACGGGCAUAGCAAUAUGUCAGUGGCAGACGGGUGAGUAACGCGUGGGAACGUACCUUUUGGUUCGGAACAACACAGGGAACCUUGUGCUAAUACCGGAUAAGCCCUUACGGGGAAAGAUUUAUCGCCGAAAGAUCGGCCCGCGUCUGAUUAGCUAGUUGGUAGGGUAAUGGCCUACCAAGGCGACGAUCAGUAGCUGGUCUGAGAGGAUGAUCAGCCACAUUGGGACUGAGACACGGCCCAAACUCCUACGGGAGGCAGCAGUGGGGAAUAUUGGACAAUGGGCGAAAGCCUGAUCCAGCCAUGCCGCGUGAGUGAUGAAGGCCCUAGGGUUGUAAAGCUCUUUUGUGCGGGAAGAUAAUGACGGUACCGCAAGAAUAAGCCCCGGCUAACUUCGUG